UUCAAUACUGCUUUCACGAGCAGUGUGCACUUUUCCCUUAGUAAGACGUUGUGAUCCAUUAGGAAUCGAGAGAUCAUCAUACAUGUUCUCUCAAUAGGUUGCCAAUAGGCCGGCAUUGAAGUUCACAAUGACAAACAACACAAUCUUCUGGUUGGGUAUAUUGUCUUGUGAGCGUGCCGUUAUCUGAUGCAACUGCCUGAUGGAUAUUAAAGACCAUGCCACUGAUGCUUGCAUCACCCACUCUUGUAGCGGGAUAUAAUGGGGUGUGUGUCCGAUCAACAACGGUUUCAUUUGGGAUACCUUUGGGACCCGUCUUGAAACACGGACCAAGGAGUCUAUCUAGUAUGCAAGUAAAUGAGACAUAUUUAAACUUAUUUGCGUAAAAAACUUGACUGUAAUAUAAUGGGAUUACGCGUAGACAUGCAAAUGUCUGCACCUCCAUCCCGGGGUAUUUACACAACAUAUAUGGGCAACUAUAUAUAGUAAAUAUACCAUGAGCAUACUGGACAUGACCCGAAAGAUGGUGAACUAUGCCUGAUCAGGUUGAAGUCAGGGGAAACCCUGAUGGAGGACCGAAGCAAUUCUGACGUGCAAAUCG
RNAcentral lists this ribosomal RNA (598 nucleotides) under Larsia sp. RNAcentral describes it as "partial large subunit ribosomal RNA". It matches the Rfam family "Eukaryotic large subunit ribosomal RNA", at positions 451 to 900 of the family's 3401-position model. Lineage: Eukaryota; Metazoa; Arthropoda; Insecta; Diptera; Chironomidae. The record is from RNAcentral.